This is a long non-coding RNA of Epinephelus moara (kelp grouper), 1259 nucleotides long. RefSeq lists it as uncharacterized. Lineage: Eukaryota; Metazoa; Chordata; Actinopteri; Perciformes; Serranidae. The record is from RefSeq and is a predicted model, not a curated record. The transcript has 3 exons.
ACAUGCACACGCAUGCACACACACACACACACCUAGGUAACCACACAGGUAGGAACAGGACGUCACCUGGAGUCGGUUCAAACAAAAUCUGUGUUUGACGACAACAAAAGUACAACUGAAAAAAAAUCACACACACACACACCCAGAUACAACAACACAAUAACUCCACAGACCGGACGGGGAGGGACAAGGACGGGAAGAGGGGCAGUUACGGGGACAGGACAUGACCUGGACUCAGUUCAAACUGACACACACAUGAUCGUCCCUCGCUCUGUCCCCUUCCUGCCUCUGUGUGUGUUCCAGUGAAACACUAACCUGAGGACUGUUUGUCCUGGAAAACUCUCACAUGUCAUCACACAGGAAUGCAGCGCUCUGAGCUGAUCUGAGAGCAGCCAGCGAGUCCUGCAGGAAGAGCACCAGGGACCACCAGACGUCCCCUCCUGUCUGACUGCAGACUUACUGUAACCCUCCAGCAUGACUAAUAAUGACCAAAAUGUCCCCAUUGUCCUGAAGUGGACCUGCUGUCUCUAUUGAUCUGAACUCCUGUUUGUCUUUGUGCUGCUGCAACAGCUGAGUUUCCCAUCUGAGGAUCAAUAGAGGAUUUUAUCUGAACCCAGAGCUCAGAGCUGCGUAACCAGGACGACGUAGUCUGAAGUUACUGAGGUUAGGUUCAGGAAAAGAGACACGGUGAGGAUGUACCGUAAAAUGACUCAGAGUUUACACAGAUCCGUACAUGCGUCUCCAGGGGAAAGUCCCGAGCUGAAGUCCAGUUUUUCGUGACCCAUCCACCCCAACCUGCCUCCUUACAAACGCUCAGGACUGCGUCCUUGUUUGCUGCCGUCAGCUCAUUGGUCAGGUGAUCUCAGCCCCUCAAAAUAUGUGGGAUAUGUACGAAUUUGGAUGCACUGCUUCUUGUGAGAAAACAUGCGGAAAACUCUGUGAGAGCAGCCUGAACAGGACGUGAAGAUGUUCUCUGUCUUCAAAUAAAAUAUUCUGUUAGUUCAUGUUUUGCAGUUUAUUAAAACAUUUCUUCAUUAAGUCGGCAAAACGUCAUAUUUUUUUAUUUUCUGUUGAGUUCUUAUAAAGAGACAGCUCGAGAAUAGAAGAUCGCGGGUCCAUAAAUAGAAACCAUCAUCAUCCUCACUGUGACCUCGUCACAUGUCCACGUUUGGUCAUGGACUUUCCACGUCCACAUAUGGCGUCCAAGGUACCCUGGGUGUGUUGGUUGUUGACGUUCUGGGACGCCGUGUCAACUUCAG